GAGAAGCGUAUUAAGCUAAGACCACAUGCAUAGUAAAAGCAAACCAUAUGCAGAUACGUACGAAACAAGAAACAAAGACUCAAUCAUCUCAAUGAGUUGAAAUUUGAGAAAAAAAAAUGGUGCGGGAAUACUAGAAGCUUCCCACUUUGAAGCCUAAAUGAGUCCUCUGAUAUAUACCUUUCAGAGUAUUGUUUACUUGUCCGUUAAUUAUUUUCAAAGUAUUAACCCCAUGUCCGGUCGAGAAAUUUUUUUGCCUAAAGCAAAAAUAAAAGAUUGGCCUAUGAAAUUGAAGUGAGGACUUUCAGCCUAGAAAGUGGUACUUUACCACUGCACUGUAAGCGAUAUUUACGUUAUUAAUUCCCUUAAAUUGUUUAUGUAAUUUGGCGCUUAAAACUUUAGUUUUACCAGCUUUAAGUCAAGACCAGCCCUGAAUUUACCCCUUAUUGCAUAAAUUUACUAGAAACGCAGAUGAAUCUUUAUUCAAGGAUUGCAAAUUUAUGUUUCACCAUGUAUAUAUAACGUAUUGUGAUCCUUUGUACGAAGUGCUGGUGAAAAGAAAAUAGAGUGAAGCAAUCGAUAAAGGUAACUACAAGAAAACGUUUUAUUUUGAAACAGUAUUCUGUAAAGCUUUAUCAACAUUAUCUAGCGUUCGUGUAUCUUUUAACUAAUCAAAUUUCUAUAUCUGACGAAUUAUAUCGAUCAAUUGUACCGUGAAUUGUGUUUGUCUCCUUGAACAUGCAUGCGCAACUUGAAGUUAUUAUAAUUUGGAAUCAUAAGGAAAAGACAAAAGAAGAUUCAUGAUAUAGAAUUUGUAAUCAAAUGUUCAGGAUAAAUGAUGAAGACUUCACGCUUGUAAAAAUAUUUGUGUGUGUGAUGAAAGUAUAAACAUUCGAAAUGUACCAUAUUCCAGACUUCAUGCAUGCUUUCAUGCAUCUAUGUAUAUAUGUGUUUUGAUAUAAUUUAUCGUAUAAACAAUUGGAUUGUUUGUAACAUUCCAAUUGUAAGUUUGUAACCUAUAUAUUAUUCUAAGAAAAACUGUAAGUUAUCAAAGAAAAAACUAUCUGAUAACGUAUUGAGAUUGUAAAAGGACAUGUAUACUGUAAAGUAAGAUUAAGCACUAGUAUACUCAUCAUUUUAGAAAGUUAUAGGUUGUUAAUAAUUUUAUGUGAAACCAUUUAAUGGAAUAAAAUAUGCAGAAAAUUUAGUGUUGUUCUUUUUUUAUAUAUCAUCCGAGCGAAUAUCAUGAUUUUGAAGAAACUUCGUAGUCACGAAUCACGAUUCAAAGAUUAAAGCAUAUAGUCGAUAAUCACUCUGUAUAUAUAUAUGACGACGGAAAUAAUAAAUAACUCGAAGACAUGUAAGCUGAACUUAUCUUAAAGAUAUUAUAGGAAGUGUUUUUUCGAGCUGCCAAUGUGACUACAACACGUAAACAAAGUUUCCUCGAACAAAUUGACGACACCUUCUUAUUACGUGUUCUAUUAAUGUUUCACACUAAAUCAGAUGCUUAGAGCAUAAUUAUCCCAGUUUCUUAGAUGGGGUUUCACAGAAAAUAAGGCAAUUAAUUAAAUGGAAACAAAAUUAAAAGCAUAUAACCGAUCCUAAGUUAAGGGUUUUUGUAACCGAUCAUAGAAAAGUUUCUUAUAACACGUGUCAGCAACAUGUAUUUUUGGUUUUUUUUUGUUUUUUUUUCUCUCUUUUCUUUUCUUCCUUUCCUCUUCUCUCAUCCUCUCCCGUGUUCUCCGUCGACGAUGAGAAGGAGGGCGAGUAUGGUUACGUUUGCAAGGUAUCCUCUCGUUUCAUCGAUCUCAUAUCAUUUUGUUCUUUUGCUAUUAAGUCGAUCUGAUACAAGGAAAGAUUGGUGCGAGGAAGUAGAUUUGUUUUCAAUUACUAUGCAAUGACCUUGGUCCUUGAAUGAAUCUGUUGAUUUUGUCUUGGCUAAGCAACUCAAAUGCUAGUUUCUGAUGUGAUCUGAUACUUCUUAGUGGUUUGACAUUUGAUUUCUUGUUUUCGUGAUGAGAUUGGUGAUAUAUAUAAGCUUUUUCUGUGAUGGGGAAGAUCACUUACAUUGCUCCAUCUGGCCAAUAUUCCCUUAAGGAUACAGUGCUAGAGCUUGAAUUCCAGGGGGUUAAGAAGUCGUACAACAUGCUUCAGGUAACAUGACACAAGACGAGGCAGAUGUGAGCACACGAGUCACGGAGUUGGGAUUGGAAGAAUCACGGACUUGGAAGUGGAAGGGAUCACGUAAUCAUCUACACUCCUCUACAAGUAAUCAAAAAUAAAUAAAUUUUUUUUUUUUAGAAACCCAAAUUAAAAAACUACCAUUGUAGCUCAAAAAUUAUGUGAUUCUUAACUAAGAUCCUUAGCUAAAAUUUAUUAGUUAAAUAAUCAAUAAAGUGUACUUAAGAAACUUUAUGGGUUUCUAGGGAUAA
Brassica rapa (field mustard) is the source of this 2429-nucleotide long non-coding RNA. RefSeq lists it as uncharacterized. The record is from RefSeq and is a predicted model, not a curated record. NCBI's taxonomy places the organism in Eukaryota, Viridiplantae, Streptophyta, Magnoliopsida, Brassicales, Brassicaceae.